CAGAAUGCUACGGUGAAUACGUUCCCGGGCCUUGUACACACCGCCCGUCACACCAUGGGAGUGGGUUGCAAAAGAAGUAGGUAGCUUAACCUUCGGGAGGGCGCUUACCACUUUGUGAUUCAUGACUGGGGGGAAGUCGUAACAAGGUAACCGUAGGGGAACCUGCGGUUGGAUCACCUCCUUACCUUAAAGAA
This 194-nucleotide ribosomal RNA is filed under the name Klebsiella pneumoniae. Its description in RNAcentral is "partial 16S ribosomal RNA". It matches the Rfam family "Bacterial small subunit ribosomal RNA", at positions 1350 to 1533 of the family's 1533-position model. The record is from RNAcentral. Lineage: Bacteria; Pseudomonadati; Pseudomonadota; Gammaproteobacteria; Enterobacterales; Enterobacteriaceae.